This is a long non-coding RNA of Tupaia belangeri chinensis (Chinese tree shrew), 1594 nucleotides long. RefSeq lists it as uncharacterized. NCBI's taxonomy places the organism in Eukaryota, Metazoa, Chordata, Mammalia, Scandentia, Tupaiidae. The transcript is spliced from 3 exons. The record is from RefSeq and is a predicted model, not a curated record.
CAAUUUGUAACUUUCAGUGGCUCUCCAAGCCUGGGUACCGGAGGGAGGGAGGCGGACGAAGCCAGGCACCCGCGAGGUCCCUUGCCAACUGCUGUCGGGCCGCCACUGCAGAGAAAGCCAAGUAGAGAUGCCUGAGAAGAAGAAAAUGUUCUCCUUGGGUCAGAACCUAUGCCCAGGUUCUAGUCCUGGGCGCCUUCAGUCCAAAUAUUCAAGCCUGCAAAACCAGAGAACAGAAUUACGGUUCAACUUUUUAGUUCCACACUAAGUUCACUGGAUCUAAUCCUGGACAACUCUCUAGUACAAAAAGUUACAUUUUAAAAUCUCAUCUUUUUCCCAGUGCCAACAAAAAAGGCAAGCAGAUUGUAUUUUUCUCCCCUAAAAUGUAAGCAGUUAGUUCAGGGUCAUCCUGUUGAUUCCUUGACCUUCUGGGGGAGGAUUCCCAGAAGAGAUACACAAUAUGUAUGCCUCCUUUUGCUUCUGGUUAGAGUGGAGGUGGCAGGGCUUGAGGGACCCCAUUUUGAUCUCCGGCUCUGGAUUGGAACAAAGAAGGGUCGCGAGCUGGCCAGGGCACUCAGUUACUUCUGGUCAGCGAGGUUUGGCUUAGGAGAGUUUGGGGUAUAUCUUGGCUCUGAGGAAAUUCUUUUUAAGCAUUACUGUGGAGGUGAACUAUUAAAACGGUGUGACAUGUUUUCAAUCUAUUCAGAUUUAUCACAGGUGCAGAAAUAAAAUUACAGGAGAAAUUCACGUUUCCCGAAGAUACAUUUUGGGUGUCUUUAUCUGUUUAUCUUGGGGAGACAGAAUCCAACUGGGCAGAAGUAAAACUGCUGCUCCUCCCCUCCUGGGUCUCCAUCCCAUGGUCACAUUGACAUUCUGGGCACAUUCGGCCCAGCCCCCGUCCCUGCUUCUCCCAAGUAUGAAUCUAAAUUACUAUUAAUAAGGGGCCGCUCCAAGUUAAUUGGCAUUAAAAGAAUUCAUUUCAAUUUGUUAAUAUUAAAUGAACGCUGUGCACUUUCGCUCCCUUCUUCGCCCCGGAUUCCCAGAUGAGUGAUGGCAAGAGGGGGCGGGGGAGUAGAAUGAGGAUUUUAUUUCUGGCUCUCUGGCUUAGCCACUGAACUGCCUCCCCUGGGGGUGUGCGAUCAGGCGCAGUGGGGACCUGAUUGGGGGAAGUCGAUGGUAUUAUUUGAUGAAAUUCUUCUGCUUCAACCAGAGCUGUGGGGGACGGAGGAGGGGACAGAGAGAGGGUUUGGGGGACAUUGCAGGGGAAAGCAGGGACUAUGCAGAAAGUGAUAAGAGAAAGGGAUAGAGAGAAUUUGGGUAAAGCAGACUUGUGUAAAAGCAGCAGUAGCUCAAAAGCCACCUAGAGAGGGAGGGGCUUGGGGCAGGAGCUGAUUUGAGGCCACACAGCUAGGGGUCCUGAAGCUGUCUAGCUUUCUAGCUGUGUGACUUUAGGCAAUCUGAUGAACUUUCUACUCUUACUUCUUGACCUGUAAAACAGGGAUAAUAAGAAUAGCACCUAUGUCAGGGAAGGGAUUGUUUGAGAUUACAUGAAAUAUGUGCAAUGUGUUUGGCACAGAGAAAUGCCAAUCAGUGUUUG